CGGGAGGCAGCAGUGAGGAAUAUUGGUCAAUGGNCGCAAGUCUGAACCAGCCACGUCGCGGAAGGAAGACGGCCCUACGGGUUGUAAACUUCUUUUNUACGGGAAUAAAGUGCNCCACGUGUGGGGUUUUGCAUGUACCNUAAGAAUAAGGAUCGGCUAACUCCGUGCCAGCAGCCGCGGUAAUACGGAGGAUGCGAGCGUUAUCCGGAUUUAUUGGGUUUAAAGGGUGCUCAGGCGGGGGGUUAAGUCGGCGGUGAAAUUUUGCAGCUCAACUGUAAAAGUGCCUUUGAAACUGGUUUCCUUGAGUGUGGAUGAGGUAGGCGGAAUUUGUGGUGUAGCGGUGAAAUGCAUAGAUAUCACGAGGAACUCCGAUUGCGCAGGCAGCUUACCAAGCCGUAACUGACGCUCAAGCACGAAGGCGUGGGGAUCAAACAGGAUUAGAUACCCUGGUAGUCCACGCAGUAAACGAUGAUUACUGGCUGU
RNAcentral lists this ribosomal RNA (483 nucleotides) under uncultured bacterium. RNAcentral's name for it is "bacterial SSU rRNA". It matches the Rfam family "Bacterial small subunit ribosomal RNA", at positions 342 to 823 of the family's 1533-position model. The record is from RNAcentral.